UAUCUUGGCACAAAUUUUAAAGGAUUAGGGAUUACAUUGUAAUGCAUUUUUAGAAGUGAAUACAUGUGUCUGAUUCUGAUUUCAGUCACAUAUGCAAAUUGUUAAGCUGCACACAUUUAGAGUAGACAAAAUGUUUCCAAUUCUUUUAUUUUUCUUCCAUUUUGGCUUAUGGAGUGAAGGAGGUCGCUCAUCAUUUCUCUUAAUUAACCAAAAAUGAUCUCGUGUUCCUUUUUAUGGAUGUACUCUGUA
This 249-nucleotide unclassified non-coding RNA is filed under the name Hevea brasiliensis (rubber tree). Lineage: Eukaryota; Viridiplantae; Streptophyta; Magnoliopsida; Malpighiales; Euphorbiaceae. The record is from RNAcentral.